CCUACGUGUGGCAGCAGUAGGGAAUCUUCCACAAUGGGCGAAAGCCUGAUGGAGCAACGCCGCGUGGGUGAAGAAGGUCUUCGGAUCGUAAAACUCUGUUGUUAGGGAAGAAAGUGCGUGAGAGUAACUGUUCACGUUUUGACGGUACCUAACCAGAAAGCCACGGCUAACUACGUGCCAGCAGCCGCGGUAAUACGUAGGUGGCAAGCGUUAUCCGGAUUUAUUGGGCGUAAAGCGAACGCAGGCGGUUUUUUAAGUCUGAUGUGAAAGACUUCGGCUUAACCGGAGUAGUGCAUUGGAAACUGGAAGACUUGAGUGCAGAAGAGGAGAGUGGAACUCCAUGUGUAGCGGUGAAAUGCGUAGAUAUAUGGAAGAACACCAGUGGCGAAGGCGGCUCUCUGGUCUGUAACUGACGCUGAGGUUCGAAAGCGUGGGGAGCAAACAGGAUUAGAUACCCCUGUAGUC
RNAcentral lists this ribosomal RNA (465 nucleotides) under uncultured bacterium. RNAcentral describes it as "partial 16S ribosomal RNA". It matches the Rfam family "Bacterial small subunit ribosomal RNA", at positions 338 to 795 of the family's 1533-position model. The record is from RNAcentral.